GAGAGUGUCGAAAGGAGCAAAUUGAAUCGUGUUAAGGUUUUAACGUCAAUGGUUCUCAAACUCCCCUCCUUGAGCCAUCACCUUAUCGUGGUGGAGGGGUUUGUAUGUCCCAAUGAUCCUAGGAGCUAAGUUGUCUGGGGCUUCACGCUACUUGUAGGGUGACCCAUGGCAAAUAGGUCCUAGGUGAGCGACCAGAGAAAGCAUGGCUCCAAAAACCCCUAUGAUGAAUACAAUAAAUGGAUAUAGGUUUCCCCUGCCUGGAUGCGGGUCACCAGGGCCCCCCUCUGGAGCGAGGCCUGGAGGUGGGGCCAACCAGUCUACAUGUGUUUUGUGGACUUGGAGAAGGCGUUUGCCCGUGUCCCUCGGGGAGUCCUGUGGGGGGUCCUUCAGGAGUAUGGGGUACCGAACCCCCUGAUACAGGCUGUUCGGCCAGUGUCAGAGUUUGGUCCGCAUUGAUGGCAAUAAGUUGGACUCGUUUCCGGUGAGGGUGGGACUCCGCCAAGGCUGCCUUUUGUCAUCGAUACUGUUAGUAACUUUUAUGGACAGAAUUUCUAGGUACAGCAGAGGCGUAGAGGGGGUGGCCUCAGUAUUGCAUUUCUGCUUUUUGCAGACGAUCUGGUUCUGUUGGCUUCAUCAAGCCGUGAUCUCCAACUCUCACUGGAGCGGUUCGCAGCCGAAUGUGAAGCGGCUGGGAUGAGAAUCAGCACCUCGAAAUCUGAGACUAUGGUCCUCAGUCGGAAAAGGGUGGAGUGCCCUCUCUAGGUCUUGCGUGAGUGGAGGAGUUCAAGUAUCUUGGGGUCUUGUUCACAAGUGAGGGAAGAAUGGAACGGGAGAUCGACAGGCAGAUCGGUACAGAGUCUCAGAAAAUGGAUGGAUAGACAAAAAAGGUGUGUGUUUGUGUGUGUGAGUCUAUGUGUGUGUGUGUGUGUGUGUGUGUGUGUGGUUUGUUUGGGCAUGUAUGAGGUUUCCUUGUGUCAGGAGAUGUGAGCUCACCUGGCGAUGCCCAUGCCGAUGUAGUGUGACAGAGGUAUGAUGGAGACAAUUGCUAUGCCGAACUUCACGUCAGAGCUGGCGUACUGGUUAUCGCUGUCAAUGUACCCGAUUAUCAGCGCAAUUAUGACGAGAGGGAGGAGGUCUGGCAGGAGAGUCACAGCUGGCUGACACGGACACAUCCUCUGGUGGCAAGAGAAGGAUGACACCUAAAGUGCGUGCGUUCAUCUUGGCUACGGGGAUGGUGAAGACCAGGAUCCAGGAAAAGAGGCAGACCAGAGAGUGGAUAAUCACCAGAGGAG
Long non-coding RNA from Phyllopteryx taeniolatus (common seadragon), 1292 nucleotides. RefSeq lists it as uncharacterized. The record is from RefSeq and is a predicted model, not a curated record. Lineage: Eukaryota; Metazoa; Chordata; Actinopteri; Syngnathiformes; Syngnathidae. The transcript has 3 exons.